RNAcentral lists this ribosomal RNA (301 nucleotides) under uncultured bacterium. RNAcentral describes it as "partial 16S ribosomal RNA". It matches the Rfam family "Bacterial small subunit ribosomal RNA", at positions 509 to 807 of the family's 1533-position model. The record is from RNAcentral.
CAGCAGCCGCGGUAAUACGAAGGGGGCUAGCGUUGCUCGGAAUUACUGGGCGUAAAGGGAGCGUAGGCGGAUGUUUAAGUCAGAGGUGAAAGCCCCCGGCUCAACCGGGGAGGGUCAUUGGAAACUGGGAAACUUGAGUGCAGAAGAGGAGAGUGGAAUUCCACGUGUAGCGGUGAAAUGCGUUGAGAUCGGAAAGAACACCAACGGCGAAAGCACUCUGCUGGGCCGACACUGACACUGAGAGACGAAAGCUAGGGGAGCAAAUGGGAUUAGAUACCCCCGUAGUCCCUGUCUCUUAUAC